AGAGACGGCGCGGUUGCUAAGGCAGGGCCAGCUGGCAGAGGCGAUCGGAGCCUAGUUCCGAAGGAUAAAAGACUGAAGUAUUCAAAGACUAGCCUCAACAUGAUAAAAGUUUAGAUUGAUGCAUCCCGCACAGAGGAAGGAAAGGUGUAUUAUACUCAGGCAUGAAAUAUUUACCUAGCGCAUCAAUUUAAAAGCAAGAACAGAAUGUUCUACAACUUGAUGAUAUAAAAUUACGCACAUCAUGGUAUACAAAGCAAGGCAUUUAUUUUGGAGAUUCCUCAUAUUGUAUUCUAUUGUGUUUAUAUUAAAGCCUUUAUAGAAACAUUCAAGACUGUAUUUGUAAUUGUUAUUCCAUGUAAUAAAUGUUGAACAUCAAAGGAAACAAAAAA
Molecule: non-coding RNA, 389 nt
Organism: Pantherophis guttatus
Lineage: Eukaryota; Metazoa; Chordata; Lepidosauria; Squamata; Colubridae
Source: RefSeq, a predicted model, not a curated record